This 983-nucleotide ribosomal RNA is filed under the name Pseudomonas putida. RNAcentral describes it as "bacterial SSU rRNA". It matches the Rfam family "Bacterial small subunit ribosomal RNA", at positions 40 to 999 of the family's 1533-position model. The record is from RNAcentral. Lineage: Bacteria; Pseudomonadati; Pseudomonadota; Gammaproteobacteria; Pseudomonadales; Pseudomonadaceae.
CGGCGCGGAUGACGGCAAUGUAGUCGCGCGAGGACGCCGUGAUUGCUCCUUGAUUCAGCGGCGGACGGGUGAGUAAUGCCUAGGAAUCUGCCUGGUAGUGGGGGACAACGUUUCGAAAGGAACGCUAAUACCGCAUACGUCCUACGGGAGAAAGCAGGGGACCUUCGGGCCUUGCGCUAUCAGAUGAGCCUAGGUCGGAUUAGCUAGUUGGUGGGGUAAUGGCUCACCAAGGCGACGAUCCGUAACUGGUCUGAGAGGAUGAUCAGUCACACUGGAACUGAGACACGGUCCAGACUCAUACGGGAGGCAGCAGUGGGGAAUAUUGGACAAUGGGCGAAAGCCUGAUCCAGCCAUGCCGCGUGUGUGAAGGAAGGGCUUCGGAUUGUAAAGCACUUUAAGUUGGGGAGGGAGGGCAUUAACCUAAUACGUUAGGGUUUUUGACGUUACCGACCGAAUAGGCACCGGCUAACCUCUGUGCAAGCUGCCUCGGUAUUACGGAGGGUGCAAGCGUUACGCGGAAUUUCCUGGGCGUAAAACCGCGCGUAGCUCUUUUGUUAAGCUGCAUGUAAAAAGCCCCGGGCUCAACCUGGGAACUGCAUUCCAAACUGGGAAGCUAGAGUACGGUAGAGGGCGCGUGGAAUUUUCCUGGUGUAGCGGUAGAACGCGUAGAUAUCGGUAAGGAACAUCAGCCGCCGAAGGCAACCACCUUGGACUUGACACUGCACACCUGAUGUGGCGAAACGCUGUGGGAGCCAAACACGAUUAGAUACCCUGGUAGUCCCACGCUCGCUAAACGAUGUCAACUAGCCUUUGGCCAUCCUGAGAAUUUACGUCGCGCCGCUAACGCACUCAAGUUUGACCGACUGGGAGUACGUCCGCAGUGAGACUCGAACGUAUUGAUCGGAGUCCGCACACACGCGUGGACCGUUGACUCACUUCGAGUCACCGUAGAGAUCGUACAGCAUGACUGCGCGAGGAACGGC